This 1294-nucleotide ribosomal RNA is filed under the name Escherichia coli. RNAcentral's name for it is "partial 23S ribosomal RNA". It matches the Rfam family "Bacterial large subunit ribosomal RNA", at positions 1660 to 2925 of the family's 2925-position model. Lineage: Bacteria; Pseudomonadati; Pseudomonadota; Gammaproteobacteria; Enterobacterales; Enterobacteriaceae. The record is from RNAcentral.
CAGGUGGUCAGGUAGAGAAUACCAAGGCGCUUGAGAGAACUCGGGUGAAGGAACUAGGCAAAAUGGUGCCGUAACUUCGGGAGAAGGCACGCUGAUAUGUAGGUGAAGCGACUUGCUCGUGGAGCUGAAAUCAGUCGAAGAUACCAGCUGGCUGCAACUGUUUAUUAAAAACACAGCACUGUGCAAACACGAAAGUGGACGUAUACGGUGUGACGCCUGCCCGGUGCCGGAAGGUUAAUUGAUGGGGUUAGCGGUAACGCGAAGCUCUUGAUCGAAGCCCCGGUAAACGGCGGCCGUAACUAUAACGGUCCUAAGGUAGCGAAAUUCCUUGUCGGGUAAGUUCCGACCUGCACGAAUGGCGUAAUGAUGGCCAGGCUGUCUCCACCCGAGACUCAGUGAAAUUGAACUCGCUGUGAAGAUGCAGUGUACCCGCGGCAAGACGGAAAGACCCCGUGAACCUUUACUAUAGCUUGACACUGAACAUUGAGCCUUGAUGUGUAGGAUAGGUGGGAGGCUUUGAAGUGUGGACGCCAGUCUGCAUGGAGCCGACCUUGAAAUACCACCCUUUAAUGUUUGAUGUUCUAACGUGGGCCCCUUACCGGGGUUGCGGACAGUGUCUGGUGGGUAGUUUGACUGGGGCGGUCUCCUCCUAAAGAGUAACGGAGGAGCACGAAGGUUGGCUAAUCCUGGUCGGACAUCAGGAGGUUAGUGCAAUGGCAUAAGCCAGCUUGACUGCGAGCGUGACGGCGCGAGCAGGUGCGAAAGCAGGUCAUAGUGAUCCGGUGGUUCUGAAUGGAAGGGCCAUCGCUCAACGGAUAAAAGGUACUCCGGGGAUAACAGGCUGAUACCGCCCAAGAGUUCAUAUCGACGGCGGUGUUUGGCACCUCGAUGUCGGCUCAUCACAUCCUGGGGCUGAAGUAGGUCCCAAGGGUAUGGCUGUUCGCCAUUUAAAGUGGUACGCGAGCUGGGUUUAGAACGUCGUGAGACAGUUCGGUCCCUAUCUGCCGUGGGCGCUGGAGAACUGAGGGGGGCUGCUCCUAGUACGAGAGGACCGGAGUGGACGCAUCACUGGUGUUCGGGUUGUCAUGCCAAUGGCACUGCCCGGUAGCUAAAUGCGGAAGAGAUAAGUGCUGAAAGCAUCUAAGCACGAAACUUGCCCCGAGAUGAGUUCUCCCUGAGACUUAGAGUCUCCUGAAGGAACGUUGAAGACGACGACGUUGAUAGGCCGGGUGUGUAAGCGCAGCGAUGCGUUGAGCUAACCGGUACUAAUGAACCGUGAGGCUUAACCUUACAA